This 306-nucleotide ribosomal RNA is filed under the name uncultured Coriobacteriaceae bacterium. Its description in RNAcentral is "bacterial SSU rRNA". It matches the Rfam family "Bacterial small subunit ribosomal RNA", at positions 32 to 339 of the family's 1533-position model. The record is from RNAcentral. Lineage: Bacteria; Bacillati; Actinomycetota; Coriobacteriia; Coriobacteriales; Coriobacteriaceae.
AACGCUGGCGGCGUGCCUAACACAUGCAAGUCGAACGACGAAACCGCCCCCGGGCGGACAUGAAGUGGCGAACGGGUGAGUAACACGUGACCGACCUGCCCCCGCCCAGGGACAGCCCCCCGAAAGGGGGAUUAAUACCUGGUACUCCGGAAGCGGCGCAUGCCGCCCCGGGAAAGCUCAGGCGGCGGGGGAUGGGGUCGCGGCCCAUCAGGUAGACGGCGGGGCAACGGCCCACCGUGCCGACGACGGGUAGCCGGGUUGAGAGACCGACCGGCCACAUUGGGACUGAGAUACGGCCCAGACUCC